RNAcentral lists this ribosomal RNA (406 nucleotides) under uncultured bacterium. RNAcentral's name for it is "partial 16S ribosomal RNA". It matches the Rfam family "Bacterial small subunit ribosomal RNA", at positions 29 to 526 of the family's 1533-position model. The record is from RNAcentral.
AUUGAACGCUGGCGGCAGGCCUAACACAUGCAAGUCGAACGAGUGGCGGACGGGUGAGUAAUGUCUGGGAAACUGCCUGAUGGAGGGGGAUAACUACUGGCAACGGUAGCUAAUACCGCAUACCAUCGGAUGUGCCCAGAUGGGAUUAGCUAGUCGGUGGGGUCAAGGAUCACCUAGGCGACGAUCCCUAGCUGGUCUGAGAGGAUGACGAGCCACACUGGAACGGAGACACGGCCCAGACGCCUACGGGAGGCAGCAGUUGGGAAUAUUGGAGGAUGGGGGGAAGCCUGAUGCAGCCAGGCCGCAUGUAUGAAGAAGGCCUUCGGGUUGUAAAAUACUUUCAGCGGGGAGGCGUUACCCGCAGAAGAAGCACCGGCUAACUCCGUGCCAGCAGCCGCGGUAAUAC